Molecule: long non-coding RNA, 724 nt
Organism: Pantherophis guttatus
Lineage: Eukaryota; Metazoa; Chordata; Lepidosauria; Squamata; Colubridae
Source: RefSeq, a predicted model, not a curated record
AAAAGAAAAAACAAGAAAGUUCAGUUGCCUCCUGAAAAAGCACCUUUGGGACAACCAUGACCUGGAUGACUGACAAUCUCUACAGACUUCUUGCCAAGAAAACUGCAGGAUCCUACUCAACGAUGGACGCACGUGGAGGCGACAUAUAAAUCAGCUCCGGUACAGGGCCGCCCGUCCGUUGGACCAGACCCCACCAGUUACUGACGGCGCACCACCCACUGACGGGCCCGCACCAUGGCUAGUUGCACCAAGUCUCGUUCCAACCGAAUCGUUCUCGUCGGCUGACUUACCUGAGGUUCCUGGCAGGGAUUCACCUUCGAAACCAUCAUCGGCGAACACAGCGCAACCGCCGGCGAUUCCGCUUCCAGUUGAAGUGACUCCGCCUUCCGCAGGUCCAUCUCCACCCCAGACUCCUUCUGUUCCGCUAUUACGUAGGUCUGGGCGGAGCCGACACCGACCAGCGUAUUUGAAUGACUACGCAUGCGCCAUCCGGAUGGAGAGGGGUGUUGAGUCCUCGCGGCCACAUCAUCAAGUCAGCGGGGUUGUUGCUAGUCCACGCGGAUUGGCUAAGACGCGAGCAAGGAACUAGCGGGAGAUUCCUGCUCGCGUAUUGGUUAACCCCGUUCCUCAGGUUCCUUUUUAAGCAGCUAUCAGUUCGCCUUCACCUGAGUUGUUAUUGUUGUUGAGUUCUCUUCGUUGUUCAAUAAAAGUUGGUGUUACUGCA